GGCAUGGCCAGUUAGCUGACACUUACUUACAUAAAAACCUUGAGGAUUAGGCCCUAAAGGGCCAAUGGGUACCUGGGAACUUCUUUAGAUUCUAUUUUUCUCAGGUUACUUCAAUGUGUAUUUUCUAAAUAGCCAAUUAAGAUUUUGGUAUUUAAGGAAUCACACCAGAAUUGGCCCCGUGCCUCGGGUGUGGAGGCGGCACACACAGGUUAGAUGCUCACUGGGAGCUGGACAUGCCCCCAGGCUUACAAAGUCACAGGAGGGAUGGAUGGCCCAAGGGCAGCUGCCCCUCCCAGGGCCCCACGCAUGAGCUACAAUUGAGAGCAAGGGGAGCCACUGCACCAGCUGCUGGGCUGAGGGCCGGGCCUGGCUGCCAAGUUCAGGGAGAACAGCUGGAACCGGGCAGGAGGUCCCAGAAGAACACAGCUGAGGGCCUUAGUCCUCUGAAUAGGGUUGUCAGAUUUGGCAAAUAAAAAUUCAGAAUGCUC
Long non-coding RNA from Herpailurus yagouaroundi (jaguarundi), 488 nucleotides. RefSeq lists it as uncharacterized. The transcript has 2 exons. The record is from RefSeq and is a predicted model, not a curated record. Lineage: Eukaryota; Metazoa; Chordata; Mammalia; Carnivora; Felidae.